AGACAACAAAAUGUUUAAUUUUAUUAUUUUGUCACCUUAGGUCGAUCGGUAUCUCACAUUCUUAAUUUAUUAAGAAUUUCAUUUCCUAAGUUUUUCUAGGUCACACCCAUUAUUUUUCCUGGGCCAUUAGCUCAGGUGGUUAGAGCGCACCCCUGAUAAGGGUGAGGUCCCUGGUUCAAGUCCAGGAUGGCCCAUAUCUCUAUGUUGGGGGUAUAGCUCAGUUGGUAGAGCGCCUGCUUUGCAAGCAGGAUGUCAGCGGUUCGAGUCCGCUUACCUCCACUGAUUACCACCUCUUCCAUAACCGGUAGAAAGGAAAUGUUUUGAGUUGUGAUUAUUAUUCUGAACGAAUCUAGCUUCCUAAUGAAAUCAUUAAGAUGCUGGACUCAUUGAAUUAAUUUCAUUGUUUUCAGAGAACCUUGACAACUGCAUAGAUUAUUUUUAAAGACAAUAAGCAUCUUUAAUGAUGCAGAUUUAUUAUUUGUGCGAAUGCAUUAAUAACAAUUCUAUUGAGCUGAUGCUUCAAUUUUUGAAGUUAUU
This 537-nucleotide transfer RNA is filed under the name uncultured cyanobacterium. RNAcentral's name for it is "partial 16S-23S intergenic spacer". The stretch from base 207 to 279 matches the Rfam family "tRNA". The record is from RNAcentral. Lineage: Bacteria; Bacillati; Cyanobacteriota.